Molecule: ribosomal RNA, 425 nt
Filed under: Verrucomicrobiota bacterium
Lineage: Bacteria; Pseudomonadati; Verrucomicrobiota
Description: Verrucomicrobia bacterium partial 16S ribosomal RNA
Rfam family: Bacterial small subunit ribosomal RNA
Source: RNAcentral
UGAGGAAUAUUGGUCAAUGGGCGAGAGCCUGAACCAGCCACGUCGCGUGAAGGAAGACUGACCUUACGGUUUGUAAACUUCUUUUGUAGAGGGGUAAUGGCAGAUACGUGUAUUUGCGUGAAAGUACUCUACGAAUAAGCAUCGGCUAACUCCGUGCCAGCAGCCGCGGUAAUACGGGGGAUGCGAGCGUUAUCCGGAAUUAUUGGGUUUAAAGGGUGCGCAGGUGGCUAAUCAGGUCAGUGGUGAAAAGCUAUGGCUCAACCAUGGUCUUGCCAUUGAAACCGUAUAGCUAGAGAGGAGACGAGGUAGGCGGAAUGUGUGGUGUAGCGGUGAAAUGCAUAGAUAUCAUGACGAACUCCGAUUGCGCAGGCAGCUUACUGUAGCAUAACUGACGCUGAUGCUCGAAAGUGCGGGUAUCAAACAGG